UACGUAGGGUGCGAGCGUUAAUCGGAAUUACUGGGCGUAAAGCGUGCGCAGGCGGUUUUGUAAGCCAGAUGUUAAAUCCCCGGGCUUAACCUGGGAAUGGCAUUUGGGACUGCAAGGCUGGAGUUUGGCAGAGGAGACUGGAAUUCCCGGUGUAGCAGUGAAAUGCGUAGAUAUCGGGAGGAAUACCGAUGGCGAAGGCAGGUCUCUGGGCUAUAACUGACGCUCAUGCACGAAAGCGUGGGGAGCAAACAGG
RNAcentral lists this ribosomal RNA (253 nucleotides) under uncultured bacterium. Its description in RNAcentral is "partial 16S ribosomal RNA". It matches the Rfam family "Bacterial small subunit ribosomal RNA", at positions 524 to 776 of the family's 1533-position model. The record is from RNAcentral.